ACACCGCCCGUCACACCAUGAGAGUUGGGAAUACCCGAAGCCUGUGAGCUAACAUAUGAGGCAGCAGUCGAAGGUAGAAUCAAUGAUUGGGUGAAGUCGUAACAAGGUAUC
This 111-nucleotide ribosomal RNA is filed under the name uncultured bacterium. RNAcentral describes it as "partial 16S ribosomal RNA". It matches the Rfam family "Bacterial small subunit ribosomal RNA", at positions 1387 to 1500 of the family's 1533-position model. The record is from RNAcentral.